RNAcentral lists this ribosomal RNA (1700 nucleotides) under Streptococcus agalactiae LMG 15095. RNAcentral's name for it is "bacterial LSU rRNA". It matches the Rfam family "Bacterial large subunit ribosomal RNA", at positions 1 to 1709 of the family's 2925-position model. Lineage: Bacteria; Bacillati; Bacillota; Bacilli; Lactobacillales; Streptococcaceae. The record is from RNAcentral.
UAAGGUUAAGUUAAUAAGGGCGCACGGUGGAUGCCUUGGCACUAGAAGCCGAAGAAGGACGUGACUAACGACGAAAUGCUUUGGGGAGCUGUAAGUAAGCGCUGAUCCAGAGAUGUCCGAAUGGGGGAACCCACUAGUUAAUGACUAGUAUCCAUAUCUGUUAAGGAUAUGAGAAGGAAGACGCAGUGAACUGAAACAUCUAAGUAGCUGCAGGAAGAGAAAGCAAAAGCGAUUGCCUUAGUAGCGGCGAGCGAAACGGCAGGAGGGCAAACCGAAGUGUUUACACUUCGGGGUUGUAGGACUGCGAUAUAGGAUUAAUCAUUAUAGAAGAAUUACCUGGGAAGGUAAGCCAAAGAGAGUAACAGCCUCGUAUUUAAAAUGAUAGAUUAACCUUAGCAGUAUCCUGAGUACGGCGAGACACGCGAAAUCUCGUCGGAAUCUGGGAGGACCAUCUCCCAACCCUAAAUACUCUCUAGUGACCGAUAGUGAACCAGUACCGUGAGGGAAAGGUGAAAAGCACCCCGGGAGGGGAGUGAAAUAGAACCUGAAACCGUGUGCCUACAACAAGUUCGAGCCCGUUAAUGGGUGAGAGCGUGCCUUUUGUAGAAUGAACCGGCGAGUUACGAUAUGAUGCGAGGUUAAGUUGAAGAGACGGAGCCGUAGGGAAACCGAGUCUUAAUAGGGCGCCAUAGUAUCAUGUUGUAGACCCGAAACCAUGUGACCUACCCAUGAGCAGGUUGAAGGUGAGGUAAAACUCACUGGAGGACCGAACCAGGGCACGUUGAAAAGUGCUUGGAUGACUUGUGGGUAGCGGAGAAAUUCCAAACGAACUUGGAGAUAGCUGGUUCUCUCCGAAAUAGCUUUAGGGCUAGCGUCGAUGUUAAGUCUCUUGGAGGUAGAGCACUGUUUGGGUGAGGGGUCCAUCCCGGAUUACCAAUCUCAGAUAAACUCCGAAUGCCAACGAGAUAUAAUCGGCAGUCAGACUGCGAGUGCUAAGAUCCGUAGUCGAAAGGGAAACAGCCCAGACCACCAGCUAAGGUCCCAAAAUAUAUGUUAAGUGGAAAAGGAUGUGGGGUUGCACAGACAACUAGGAUGUUAGCUUAGAAGCAGCUAUUCAUUCAAAGAGUGCGUAAUAGCUCACUAGUCGAGUGACCCUGCGCCGAAAAUGUACCGGGGCUAAAACAUAUUACCGAAGCUGUGGAUGACACAAAAGUGUCAUGGUAGGAGAGCGUUCUAUGUGUGAAGAAGGUGUACCGUGAGGAGCGCUGGAACGCAUAGAAGUGAGAAUGCCGGUAUGAGUAGCGCAAGACAGGUGAGAAUCCUGUCCACCGUAAGACUAAGGUUUCCAGGGGAAGGCUCGUCCGCCCUGGGUUAGUCGGGACCUAAGGAGAGACCGAAAGGUGUAUCCGAUGGACAACAGGUUGAUAUUCCUGUACUAGAGUAUAUAGUGAUGGAGGGACGCAGUAGGCUAACUAAACCAGACGAUUGGAAGUGUCUGGUCAAACAGUGAGGUGUGAUAUGAGUCAAAUGCUUAUAUCUUUAACAUUGAGCUGUGACGAGGAGCGAAGUUUAGUAGCGAAGUUAGUGAUGUCACACUGCCAAGAAAAGCUUCUAGCGAUACAUAUACUCUACCCGUACCGCAAACCGACACAGGUAGUCGAGGCGAGUAGCCUCAGGUGAGCGAGAGAACUCUCGUUAAG